CGAACGCUGGCGGCGUGCUUAACACAUGCAAGUCGAACGGAAAGGCCCUGCUUUUGUGGGGUGCUCGAGUGGCGAACGGGUGAGUAACACGUUAGUAACCUGCCCUUGACUUUGGGAUAACUUCAGGAAACUGGGGCUAAUACCGGAUAGGAGCUCCUGCUGCAUGGUGGGGGUUGGAAAGUUUCGGCGGUUGGGGAUGGACUCGCGGCUUAUCAGCUUGUUGGUGGGGUAGUGGCUUACCAAGGCUUUGACGGGUAGCCGGCCUGAGAGGGUGACCAGCCACAUUGGGACUGAGAUACGGCCCAGACUCCUACGGGAGGCAGCAGUGGGGAAUAUUGCACAAUGGGCGGGAGCCUGAUGCAGCAACGCCGCGUGCGGGAUGACGGCCUUCGGGUUGUAAACCGCUUUCGCCUGUGACGAAGCGUGAGUGACGGUAAUGGGUAAAGAAGCACCGGCUAACUACGUG
RNAcentral lists this ribosomal RNA (466 nucleotides) under uncultured bacterium. Its description in RNAcentral is "partial 16S ribosomal RNA". It matches the Rfam family "Bacterial small subunit ribosomal RNA", at positions 30 to 507 of the family's 1533-position model. The record is from RNAcentral.